RNA transcript from Ananas comosus (pineapple), 2657 nucleotides. It is a transcript of the gene named tRNA pseudouridine synthase A, mitochondrial-like, with no coding region annotated. Lineage: Eukaryota; Viridiplantae; Streptophyta; Magnoliopsida; Poales; Bromeliaceae. The transcript has 3 exons. The record is from RefSeq and is a predicted model, not a curated record.
AUACUCAGGCUCUUCCCGAUCUAACGGUCGCAAACCUACUCCCACACUCCCGCUCCGCCCCUUCCCAUUUCUAGGGUUUUGCGACUCCCCGAAACCCCUCCCCUCCAUGGCCCUAAUCCUGAUCGACUUCUAAAACCCCCUCAACCAUGGCGUCGCCUCCCUCGUCUCCUCCGAGCCCCAAGAAGCUCAAGAUGUCGUCCUCCACCUCCGAAGCCGACCCCGACGCCGACGCCUCCGCCGCCGCCUCCGGCGAGCCGCGCCGCCGCUACAAACGGCGCAAGGUCGCCAUCUUCCUCGGCUACUGCGGCGCCGGGUACCAGGGCAUGCAGAAGAACCCCGGGGCGCGCACCAUCGAGGGCGACCUCGAGGAGGCCCUCUUCCUCGCCGGCGCCGUCCCCGACGCCGACCGUGGCGCGCCCCGCCGCUACGACUGGGCGCGCUCCGCGCGCACCGACAAGGGCGUGAGCGCCGCUGCGCAGGUCGUCUCCGGGCGGUUCUACAUCGACCCUCCGGGCCUCGUCGCGCGCCUCAGCGCCCACCUCCCCGAUCAGAUCCGGAUCUUCGGGUACAAGCGCGUGACCAACUCGUUCAAUGCGAAGAAGUUUUGCGACCGGCGAAGGUACGUGUAUCUUCUCCCCGUGUUUGCCCUAGAUCCGAGCGCGCACCCCGACAGGGAGGCCGUGAUGGCGAGCUUGGGGUCCGGGAAUGAGCUCGCUCGAUGUGUUGAGUGCUCCGAAAGGGGGAGGAAGGUUCCUGGGAUCAUGGGUCGGGGGCCGAAAGGUUCGAACGGGGGAGAAAAAUCCAAACUUUGUGGUGGGGAAACGGGUGGAGAUGAAAAUGGUGUCUCUAAUUUGAAUUUGACUAGUGUGGUUUCUGCUUGUGAAGAGCGAAAUGAUGCUUGCAAGAGCGAAUUAGAAUGCAGUAACACAGAAAAGCCAGAACAUGGCAGCGAACAAGGUGGCGGAGAGGAUGAUGGCGCCUCUAACCUGAAUUCAAUGAGUAGUGUUUUGCAACCAGAGAAGGAGCGUGAAGUUGGUAAUGGUGGUUUUGAAUCGAGAGAAGGUGAAGAGUCUUGUGGUAAUUCACGCGCAGAUUCGGUUUCAAAGCACGGUACUUUAGGGUCCGAGGAACUAGCAGCUGAUGAGAAAUCUAAGUUGGUGGAAGGAAGAUUGACGGAAGAGGAGACCGCCAAAGGUGGAGUAGUUGAGAGUACUGCUAAUGAAGAAGCUGUUCUUGCGAUCAAAAGUGGCUUUUGUUACGGAGAUGAGGAAAAGGAGAGGUUUAAUAGAAUUCUAAAGCAUUAUGUUGGAACCCACAACUUCCAUAACUUCACCACGAGAACGAAGGCCGAAGAUCCUUCUGCCAGGAGAUAUAUUAUUUCUUUCGAGGCAGAUCGUGUUGUUACUAUUGACGGAAUCGAUUUUGUCAAGUGCGAGGUUGUUGGUCAGAGUUUUAUGCUCCAUCAAAUCCGGAAGAUGAUCGGCCUUGCUGUUGCAGUGAUGAGGAACUGCGCUCCAGAGUCACUGAUGGAGGUUGCCUUAAAAAAGGAGGUAAGCAUAAAUGUACCAACAGCACCUGAGGUGGGGCUCUACCUGGAUGAAUGUCUCUUCAGUUCAUAUAACAAAAAGUGGCGCGAUUCGCAUGAGGAGAUUUCAAUGGCAUCUUAUGCUGAAGAGGCUGAAGAGUUUAGGAUGAAGCAUAUAUACCCUCACAUUGCACAAAUGGAGCACAAGGAGGGAGCUGUAGCAUUGUGGCUUCACUCGCUGAACCUCCGUAAUUACCCGGAUUUCCAUUUUGUGGACACUAAUAGCGAGUCUCUUGGUGCAGAACAAACAAAACAAGAUAAUUUGGGGCAGUGACUGCUUCAAUGGAGAUUGAAGAUGUGUGACAUCUUUGUCUCGGUCCAAACGAGGGAACAUAAAGAAAAAAAAAAAAAAGGGGGGGCAGCAAACAGUUAACACGCUCCCUAUGUUCAUUCAAGUAAUUUUGUUGGAUGCGUAAAGCUUUUUCUUCAUUUGUUGUAUUAGGUCCUCUCAAGUCUCUACUUGGACAAAGAUAAGUAUAGAACAUGUCACGCGCUAUUUGUUUUAUUUUAUGAAAAGCAAACUUAUUGUGCUUAUGUGCUUACUGAUCUUUUCCUGGACUGAUGAGGCUGGCUAGGCAGAAGACGAGGAAAGAUGGAUCCUGACAUCGUAAAUGAAGGAGAGCAUUUACUGAUACGGGGAACAACAUGUGUUGGUUGUUUUAGGUGGAAUGCGAGAGGGAUGUGUAGCAUUCUAAACAAACUGUGGCGAAAUUACUCUCUUCAUGAAUUUUUAGAUGGAAAUAAAGGUUACACACUGUUUUUAGUACUGGAAAUGUGCUUCUUGCAUCAGCAAAUUGGUGGAUAAAGGAUAUAUGUUGUAGCAGAUAUUGGCUUUUCUGCAGGCAGACAAUCAAUGCGAAAUAUUCUCCUUCUAAAUUGUGUUUGUACUCAUGCUCUUCUGGUGUUGCUUUGGUAGUUGUUGGCCUAUCUCUGAGUAUCUGCACUUAUGAAGGUUCAAUAUCUAAGUUUCUGUUUCUUUUCUCAAAAAAAAUAUCUAAGUUUCUGUUUCAGCUUUUUCUGGCCCUUAGGAGCCUUGUUAUUAUGGAUUGACAUAGCAUUUGCCGAAGUUUAA